RNAcentral lists this long non-coding RNA (7768 nucleotides) under Podarcis lilfordi (Lilford's wall lizard). The record is from RNAcentral. Lineage: Eukaryota; Metazoa; Chordata; Lepidosauria; Squamata; Lacertidae.
CCCUCUUCCUGUCGAGGCAGCAGCCAUGGCUGCUUCUGAGGGUCCCGUGCAGGAUCUCUGCGAGGAAGCCACCUGCCCCAUCUGCCUGGAGUAUUUCAGGGAUCCAGUGAUCAUUCAUGAAUGCGGGCACAACUUCUGCCGAUCCUGCCUGAUCCAGGGCUGGGAGAAAUCCGAGGGAGAGGCUUCCUGCCCUCAGUGCAGGGAAAGGGUGGAGCAAAGCAGCAUCAGGAGAAACCAGCAGCUGGCAAAUGUUGUGGAAAUAGCCAAGAAAUUCAGUCAUCUGGGCGGAAAAAAGGAGGCCGAAGGAAAAAGAAGCGUCUGCGAGAAGCACCAGGAGCCCCUGAAGCUCUUCUGCCAGGAGGACCAAAGCCCCGUCUGUGUGGUGUGUCAUGUAUCCAAGGAGCACAAAAGCCACGAGGUGAUUCCUCUGGAGGAGGCGUCCCAGGAGUACAAGGUAGGAAAAGGCAGUGGGUCUUUCUUGGGGGUGGAAGAGCUGCAGACAAAAGGGGCUAUUAAUAAUAAUGAUAAUAAUAAUAAUAAUAAUUGUAAUGUAUUCUCUCCACUUGCAGCCCAAAAGGAAUUCUUGUGCAGCCUGAUGAAACUAAACUUCUGAAACUUUAUACAAUAAACAUUUAUUUUCCUUUUUGAGGGUUUAAAGUGCACCGCCUGAAUGCAGGCUGCAGUAACUCCCCUGGGAGGAAAGAUUACAACAUCUAGGAUUAAUUUAAUAAAAAGGAGGGGGGAGAUGUGGGAGGUGUUCUCAGUGUGGGGGACAAAUAGCAAACCCCCCAUGUUUCUCAGCUCUGAUAUAGGGCAGCCCCAUUUCUGCCUCCUCUGGGAUGAAAAGGGGAACCUCUGCAAAAGACCCAGGGAUGUGGAGCAGGGAGCAAACAUAGGAUUCAGCUUGCCUGUUAAUGUAUAAUGCAGCCCAAUUUGAAUUUUGUUUUCUUUUCAGGAUCAGAUCAGCAGCUGCCUAGACAAUGUGAGGAAGGAGAGAGAGAAAAUUCUAGUAUUUAAAGCAAACACAGAAAAGGAAAGCCAAGACCUGCUCGUAAGCGCCAUUGUUACUACUUUAAGAUGAAAAAUGCUGUACAGUGGUUACCAGUACAUAUGCUUCAGGUUACAUACGCUACAUACAUAGCCGUUACAUCCGCUAACCCAGAAAUAGUACCUUGGGUUAAGAACUUUGCUUCAGGAUGAGAACAGAAAUUGUGUUCUGGCGGUGCGGUGGCAGCAGGAGGCCCCAUUAGAUAAAGUGGUGAUUCAGGUUAAGAACAGUUUCAGGUUAAGAACCGACCUCCGGAACGAAUGAAGUACUUUUCCUUUUUCUGUUUUUUAUGGUGCAGAAACAAACAGGUGCAGAGAGGGAAAAGAUGGUGGCUGAGUUCAGGCGACUGCACCAGUUUCUGGAAGAAGAGGAGAAACGUAUUCUGGCCCAGAUGGCAGAGGUGGAGAAGGAGAUUGCAGCCCAAAGGGAGGAGCAGCUGGCCAGACUCUCCAGGGAACUCUCCUCUCUUGACAGCCUCAUCCGGGAGAUGGAGGAGAAGCUUCAGGAACCAGCGAGUGAACUCCUGCAGGUGAGGCCUCAUCCUGAUGCGAGAGGGUGGAGUGUGCUGCUUCAGACUACAGUGGUACCUCGGGUUACAGACGCUUCAGGUUACAGACUCCACUAACCCAGAAAUAGUACCUUAGGUUAAGAACUUUGCUUCAGGCUGAGAACAGAAAUGGUGCGGCGGCAGCGGGAGGCCCCAUUAGCUAAAGUGGUGCUUCAGGUUAAGAACAGUUUCAGGUUAAGAACGGACCUCCAGAACGAAUUAAGUACGUAACCUGAGGUACCCCUGUACAAGCAUUUCUUAGUCCUUCCCCACAUAAAAAUACUGUUGUCAGAGAAACAAGCAGUACAUGAAUGCUAAAAGGCGUCAGACCUGGCACAGGAGCCAACUCUGAGGGGCUGAGGUCCCUUGACACCCCAAUGAAAUAUUUGAGAGGACCAGCCCCCCCCCCAAUAAUGGACAUUUGUUUUGAAAUGGGGUGUGUGUACUGCAUCUUGUGAUUGAUUAUGUGGGGCGGAGCUUACCUGCCCACCCCCCAAUAUUUUUACUACAUCAAACCACAGGCCCUUUCUCUCCUGCUUCCUGUUCUUGCAUUGGCCAACCAGAGGUCUCUGGGAAGCCCACAAGCCAAUAGAACUCUGUAUUCAAUUAACCUUUACUCAGAGUAGACUAUCUUAGGUUCAUUAAUUUCAGUGUGUCUGAGUAAACGGUAGUUGAAAACAACCGAUACUGCCUCCAGCACAGGCAUUCCAAAUUGGCACUGCAUCACAUUUUCAUUCAGAUGCUGUCUUGGGUCCUGCCAGAGAGGGGGUGACCUAUUAUUAUUAUUAUUAUUAUUAUUAUUAUCAUUAUUAUUAAAAUAAGUUUGUGUACCAUCCUGUACCCACAGGUCUCAGGGUGGUUCCCAGGAUAUGAUUGAGUGCGGGAUGUACAUAGCAGUGAACCGAUUAGUUGCAUGUGAACACGGAACCAGCAUGCGCUGCAGGGCAAAAUGGCAAAUCAGGGAGGUGGGAUUGAAUCUCUCAGGUGUUUGGGUGACUUGGUCAAAAGAGAAGAAAAGGACCUUUUAUUAGUCAUCACUGGAAUGGCUGACUUUUGCCACCUGAUGGUUAUUCCAAAAUUACGUGGCACUGCAUAUUUUAUUGAGGGUCUUUUGUCCUCGGCUAACAUCUCUCUAGGGAUGCGGAUGGCGCUGUGGGUUAAACCACAGAGCCUAGGACUUGCCGAUCAGAAGGUUGGCGGUUCGAAUCCCCGCAACGGGGUGAGCUCCCGUUGCUCGGUCCCUGCUCCUGCCAACCUAGCAGUUCGAAAGCACAAAGUGCAAGUAGAUAAAUAGGGAAGGUAAACGGCGUUUCCGUGCGCUGCUCUCGUUCGCCAGAAGUGGCUUAGUCAUGCUGGCCACAUGACCCGGAAGCUGUACACCGGCUCCCUCGGCCAAUAAAGCGAGAUGAGCGCCACAACCCCAGAGUCGGCCACGACUGGACCUAAUGGUCAGGGGUCCCUUUACCUUUUUAACAUCUCUCUGCUUCAACUGCUUAGCAUUUAUAACUGACCGCAGGGCUCUCUGCAGAUAUGGCUCCACGGAUAUCUUUUUCUUUCCUUCCUUCCAGGAUAUCAGAAGCUUCUUGCAGAGGUAAGUGAUGGAAAUCUACUGCUUUAAGAAAACCCCUGCCUUAUUAUGAUGCUAGGAACAUUCUUGUUUAACAGGUGAGAAACUCACUCUCCAGUUCCUCCUUUCAGAGAUAGCUUAGGACUCCACCGUACAUUUCAAAAAAUCACAGACAAAAGUAGAGACCCAUUUUUGUGGUAGUUUGUAGCUACAAACACAGACAGGAAGCCGUUCCCAUUGCAUAUUUCUGAAGGCCCUUCUCUGUGAUGGAUUCAUUUACUCUUAAAUUGACAGAAAAAGGGGGGACAUUCCAAAGGUGCUUGUAAAUAUCUUUACUUUUACCUUUACAAUACGUUUAUAAUGCUAAUUGCAAAAGCCAUUCUAAAGCAUUCUGCACUUACUUAUAUUUCAGAAAUGCACAUACCAGAUCUAUUUUGUUUUGCCAUUAAUCACUUGAAAUGCUUCACUAAAACUGAUGUAGUCCUAAAAUCUCUGCGUAAGGACCCAUUAUUGUUCACUUUUCUUCAAAAAAUAAUAAUUUGCAUACAUCAGCUUCUUUACCUUCAAUCUCAUAUUCAUAUAUUUCCUUCAGUAUAUUUUGGAAGCAGGUGUCUUUCAAUUUUCCUUCAACUUCUUAGAUACUUUCUAGAUCCACACGUCAGCUCAAUGCUCCUUUUUGCCAUAGGAACACCCUGCUCCCAAGUCUUCAUGAUAUACCGUAUUUUUUGCCCUAUAGGACGCACUUUUUCCCCUCCAAAAAUGAAGGGGAAAUCUGUGUGCGUCCUAUGGGGCGAAUACAGGCUUUCGCUGAAGCUUGGAGAGCGAGAGGGGUUGGUGCGCUUCUCCCCAGCGCCAGCCCCACAAGCUCAAGGGACAGCGGGGAGGCGCAGCGCUGCCACACCGCUGUUCCCCGACCUGGUUUUGGGGGGGAAAUAAAGGAAAAAAAAUUCCCCUUUAUUUCCCCCCCAAAAAACUAGGUGCGUCCUAUGGGACGAAAAAUACGGUAUCCAUCAUGCCUUUAUCAUCAGGAUGAGGCACCUGCCUUGUCAGAAAGCUCCUUGCAUUGGAAGAAUGGAGGCUUGACUUUGUUCUUCUCCUCCCAGGUCUCAGGAGAAGGAGAACUUAGAGGAUCCUCCUGUGGCUUUUCCUCCUGCCCUGAAGUGGAAGAUCUGGGACUUCGGAGAGAUAAAUCCCUUCCUGGAGGGAGUCAUGGAAAAAUUCAGAGGUAAUAAAGAAGGGCUGAAAGGAUUGUUAGCUGGAUGUUUAGAAGUGUUCACAACAAGCUCCAGGUCAUAGGGAAUAUUAGCCAAGCCAGGAAAAUGGAAGUUUUAUUUAUUUAUUCUCUUCCAACAUCUAGAAGCCGCACUUUUAUAUGUAGAUGACUGAUUUUACUUAAGCAAUUGAAAGGGGAUGGUCAACCCUUCUUGCUGGGCUCUGGAAGCUCUUGCGAGAUCCUUGGGGAGCCUCCCACAUUCCAGUCAGCAAGGUAAAGGGCUUGAAAGUUCUUGCCACGAAGGGUGUUGGCCACCACGCAAAUCACAUUUACACCAUCCUCCUUGCUUACUGGGCUCUGAGAGGCUCCUGCGAAAUCUCAUGGGGCCGUCUGGAGAUCUCAGAUGGCAGGGGUGAUUUUCUGGGGUUUUUCUGACUUCCCACAAUUUGCCUUUAUGCACAACCCCCAGGAAUGUAACCCUCCCUUAAGUUGCGAGUUGUCUGUAAAAAGUUGUCCUUGACCUCUGCACAUCUCUCAGCCAGGCUUUGGGUGCUUUCACGUAUCUCACCCAUUUCUCAAGUACCCUCACCUACAGAUUUUCAGGCAUCUCUCCUGUUCCUUUGGCCCUGAGAUUGAUGUAAGGGGGGCAGAAGGAGGGGGGCUGUCCAGGAGCCAGCCAGGAGCAGAGGGGUUGAGGCCUCCCGUCCUGCAACAGGGGUGUCUGGAUCUUGUUGCUGAUGGGGGGAUCUUCUGGGGGUCCUGCUCCUCCUCCCAAGAUUUGGGCAGGCCUGAACCUCGACAUGACCUUAUGCAGGAUAGCCAGUAGGAUGAGUUUCAGAGAGUUUUAACUGCAACUCCCUGUGGCCUGUGGUUAGGGAUGAUGGGACUUGUAGUCCACGACACCUGGCUACAAUCUCAUGAGCUCAUAUUCUUGUUGCCAGGUUUGUUGUCUGAAUGAUAGUGUGAUGCUAAAUUCUGUUCCUCUUUCUCUUCCAGACACUGUGGAAUAUGGACUUCAGCUGCAAAAAGGUACAAAUAAUAAUAAUAAUAAUAAUAAUAAUAAUAAUAAUAUUUAUACCCUGCCCAUCUGGCUGGGUUUUCCCAGCCAUUUUCCCAGGCACAAAUUCGGGAGAGAUGGGAUCCACUUCUCAAAAGAUCAGGCCACUGCAGCUCUUCCGUCCAUGCCUUCUUUCCCCUUCUUUCCCAGAGGCAUCCAGUGCCGGGACUCCUGCAUCUCACUGCAGAACAUGGAGUGGAGUCUCCUUCCUUGGAGGUUUUUAAGCAGAGUUGGGUGGCCCCCUGUGGUGGAUGCUUUAGUUGGGAUCCCUGCAUUGCAGGGUGUUGGACUAGAUGACCCUUGGGGUCCCUUCCAACUCUACAAUCAUAUAAUGCGCUUUCAAGAAUCCCAAGCAGGACAUUUCACACAGGGGGGUCAGGGAAGGCUAACCACUUUAUUGCUUUUUAUAAACUAUCUGGAAGGAUGGGCUAUAACAUAAUAUUAAAGAUGUAACUGAAAGUUGAAUGGUGGUUACAAGGAGGGUGAGAGCACCUUCUGCCAGAUUUACGUGGCAUGUCAAGCAUGUGAUGUGAGGUAAAAUAUUAAGGUGUGAAUUAGGGAGUCCCUGCUUUGACUCCCUUUUGCCAUGAACUGUGUGGGGUGGAGGUGGCCUUAGACAAGCCACUGUCUCUCUGCCUCAGUCCUCCCAUCUGAAAAAUGGGCAUAGUAAGAUUGACUUAACUUACAGGGAAGUUGCAGGGUUCUAAGUAGAUAGAGUGUGUUAAGUACGUUGAACCCUUGAAAGAACUUCAAAUGUUUCAAGAAUCAUCAAUAAGAACUUGAUGAACACCCCUGUCUCGAAGGCAGAGCCAUGGAGAGGGUCAGCUUCCCAGUUGACAUCGCUUCUCUUCUCUUUCCUCCUCUGCCCCCCCAGAAAAUGUAACUUUGGAUCCAGACACAGCACAUCCCCUCCUCAUCCUGUCUGAGGAUCGAAAGAGUGUGAGACAGGGAGAAGUGCGUCAAGACCUGCCAGACAACCCUGAGAGAUUUGACAGAUAUACCUAUGUGCUAGGAUGUGAGGGUUUCACGUCAGGCAGACAUUUCUGGGAGGUCACUGUGGGAAGAGAGGAGAGAUGGGGGGUGGGGGUGGCCAGGAAGUCUAUGAAGAGGAAGGGUGAUUCCACUUUUGGUCCUAAGGACGGGAUCUGGGGUUUCGGGAAGUGGAAAGGAGGGUACAUCCCCAAUAAGGCCCCUGUUCCAAGUGAGGAGCCCAAGAGGAUCCAAGUGGCCCUGAACUAUGAAGGGGGACGGGUGUCCUUUUACGAUGCUGAUACAGCAGCCCUCCUCUACACAUUCCCGGCAGCCUCCUUCUCAGGAGAGACCCUCCAGCCCUUGAUUUACGUGGGGAAGAAAGAGAACCUGAGACUCUCUUGACUUGAGGGUGCAGACAGACAAGCGUCAAUCAUGAUGCAACUCUCUCUUCUUGGGCCAGCUUUCACUGGACAACAAACCUUCCUUAGCCUCAAUCCUGCUCUCAGAUUCCCUUUUCCUCCCCCAAGAUCUCCACUGGCCAGGGAGAUGGAAGUUCCAAAAUCCCUUUUUUUGCUACUCCUCAGGGAAGCUUAUGUGGCAAUUCAGCAAAAUCUCCAUAUCCAAAGAGACCUGUUUGCUAGUUGAGUGCAGAUUGCACCCUGGAGCCAUUCCUUAAAACAAAUUAAUAAAUAGAAAGAACACAAGAGACCGGGACGGGAAACACUGUUGGAAGGGACUGUGUGAGAUCUCUCAGGAGUCUCCAGAGCCCAGAAAGCAAUGAGAGGGUGGGGCUUUGGCAGUGGGGGAAAGAGUUUCUAAGUCCACCUUGCUUACUGACCUCUAGAAAGGUCAAGAUCUCUGGCUUUGGACAAGUAAGGAUGGUUGCUUGGGGGGCAUUUUCGAGGGUCUUCCUGACUUAUUCAAUAUUGCCCUUCCAUACACGAAGAGUCGGACACGACUAAACAACAACAAAAAUGCUGACCCCAGGAAUGUCACCCGCCCACUUAGGUCUUGGGCCUUGAUGUAGCAAAAUCCCCUCUGACAAUGAGGAGCCUCUGUCAGAGGUUCUGAAUGACAAUCUAGACUAGAGACUUUCAGGGGGGGGGGUAAAUUCCCAUGUAUACAAUUAUUUACUCCAAGAUGCUUUGUAGUGACCAGUCAGAUACUUAUCUGUAUUUUUAGAAAUCACCUCUUCUUAUAUUUUUGUAUAAUGGGCCUGAAAGUAUUUGGGGAUAUGUUUCCUGUGCUAACGUGUUUGAUUCUAUUAAAGAUUGUACGUCUUGUUGCUUCUAUUUUGUCUGAUACUCAAUAGUAUAAUAACCAUUCCCCAUGACACUUCCUCCAGGGAUUUUAGGAGGGUGAUA